RNAcentral lists this ribosomal RNA (513 nucleotides) under uncultured bacterium. RNAcentral describes it as "partial 16S ribosomal RNA". It matches the Rfam family "Bacterial small subunit ribosomal RNA", at positions 28 to 523 of the family's 1533-position model. The record is from RNAcentral.
GACGAACGCUGGCGGCGUGCCUAAUACAUGCAAGUAGAACGCUGAAGAAAGGAGCUUGCUUCUUUUGGAUGAGUUGCGAACGGGUGAGUAACGCGUAGGUAACCUGCCUUGUAGCGGGGGAUAACUAUUGGAAACGAUAGCUAAUACCGCAUAACAGCUUUUGACACAUGUUAGAAGCUUGAAAGAUGCAAUUGCAUCACUACGAGAUGGACCCGCGUUGUAUUAGCUAGUAGGUAGGGUAACGGCCUACCUAGGCGACGAUACAUAGCCAACCUGAGAGGGUGAUCGGCCACACUGGGACUGAGACACGGCCCAGACUCCUACGGGAGGCAGCAGUAGGGAAUCUUCGGCAAUGGGGGCAACCCUGACCGAGCAACGCCGCGUGAGUGAAGAAGGUUUUCGGAUCGUAAAGCUCUGUUGUAAGAGAAGAACGUGUGUGAGAGUGGAAAGUUCACACAGUGACGGUAACUUACCAGAAAGGGACGGCUAACUACGUGCCAGCCGCCGCAGUAA